GAACUUUGAUCUCUGGUUCCCCUUCCAAAUUCUCAUAGUGCGUGGCUGGGAUGAGGGCGGCGCUCACGGUGAGGAAGCCCCGAGCUCCCGGGACGCAGACAGGGUGUGCAGGGCCGUAGCUCGGGCCUGUGUAUGCACCUGUGCGUGUGUGUUUGAUGCCAGGACAAGGCGGCGGUGUGCGCGGCGAGGAGGCUGCGACAGCUGUAUAGACCCCAGCUGCAGUGAAAUGGCCAUCAAAAAGGGAAGGGAUAAUCGAGUGGUGGAAUAAAAUCUGCAAACAGAAAAAGGACAGACCUGUUUUCGGAACGAGGCUUUUCGAGUUACCACCAUGACUGAAGGCUAAGAGCAACUUGCUUGCGCAUUAAAGAUCACUUGGAGAGAGAGGUCCAGUGAGCAACAACGGCCAGAAAUUUCAGGGAGACCAUCUUGAACCAUCCAGCCUCCACCAGGCCAACAGCUGACAGCUGUCACAUGAAUAUGAUCAGCAGAAGAACCACUCAGGCAAGCCAAGCCCAAAUUGCCAAGCCCCCCAAAUAAUAAGCUAAUUGUUUUUUGUUUUAAGCCAUAAACUUUUGAGGUGGUUAUAUAGCAAUAAAUAACUGAAACAGGUGUUUAACUUUCUAGACUUUUUAAAUGACCAUAUUGAUAUAAUUGUAUUGUUCAACCUGUUUUGUAAAGUGAUUUCUCUGAUACAGUAUCUUGAAAAUAUUCCUUAACUAUUUUCUACAACUUUGCAUUUGUCUAUCUUAGUAUUAUAUUACAUGGAUAUGUGGUAACUUAUUUAACUACUAACUUCCCUUUGCAAUUCCUUUUCCUUGCUGUCUAGCUCCCAUGUCUUGACCAACUUUGCAUUCCCCUCCAGGACCUUAUGGGCACAUGGGUUCCUAUCAUUUCACGGGUAUGUAGACUCAGGAAUGUGGCAUUGACUUCUGGGUGGAGUACAGAUGACUGACACCCCCACCCCGAUUCGGAGGAAUUAUUCAGGGGUGUGAUAUAACACCUACAUACAUUUAUUUAACUAGCCAAUUUGGUCUCCCCUUUUUUUGUUUUGAGACCGAGUCUUGCUCUGUCGCCCAGGCUGGAGUGCAGUGGCGUGAUCUCGACUUACUGCAACCUCCGCCUCCCAGGUUCAAGGGAUUCUCCUGCCUCAGCCUUCCGAGUAGCUGAGACUACAGGUGCCCACCACCAUGUCCGGAUAAUUUUUGUAUUUUUAGUAGACAUGGGGUUUCGCCAAGUUGGCCAGGCUGGUCUCAAACUCCUGACCUCACGUGAUCUGCCUGCCUCAGUCUCCCAAAGUGUUGGGAUUACAGGCAUGAGCCACCUCGGCCAGCCGGGUCUCCCUUUUUACAUCUGUUUUCCCCUUUCCAGUUCAAAUUCUGUAUUCUGGGAACAUCUUACUUUCUUCACCCUGAUUGAUUAGGGAAACUUCAGGGUUCUUAGGUAACUUUCUGAAGGACUGGUUUAAGAUUCCUAGAGUUGGAAAUGGGCGUCUCUCCUGUGUUAUUUCUAAAGUGUUAUCAUCCUAAUCCUUCAGAAUACUUUCUUGACUUCUUUCUGCUUGAUGAUUAAGGAAUGGUCUCAAUUCUCCAUAGCCACAUCAGACCAAAAUUCCAUUUCUUUGCCUAUGUGAAGGGUUUAUUAUUAAUUACCCUAUUAAUUUAUGUCCAAACCAGAUGUGAUUUCCUUCUUGGAGCAAUAGUUCGUGAAGAGGUUGGUUAACAGCAGUUCUGUGCCCAGGUAAAUGAGAGGCAACUGAUAAGAGGAACUCGUUGUGUAUAAAAUCUUAGGAUUCUAGAUUUAGGACCUUUAAGGCAGUAUUUGAAUUAGUGCUCUGGAAUGUCUAUGAAGAAAGUUUGGGUCUCUUCAGCCAGAAUUCAGACCAUUUCAACAUUGCAUUCCAUGUAUCAUACACAUAUCUCCUUUUAUUAUUAUUUUUUCUGCUCUCAAAGCAGAUUUCUCUCAUUGUAAAAUUAGUAGAUUCUUAAUUCAGAAGAUUGGAGAAUAUUAAAAAAAGCUUAAAGUAAAGCACUUUGAACACUUUAUUCCAAAUCACUUCACCUCAUUUGUGAAUAAGUGCAUGGAUAUAGGCUUAUAGGACUUUUUCAUUCAAAACAGGGUUAUAUAACAAUUGUUUUGAAAUCUACUUGUUUCUUCUAACAAAAUAUAGUGAACAAAUUUUCAUGUCACUAAAUUAUGAACUGUGUCAUAAUCUUUUAAUGGCUGCACUGUUCUGUUUGUAUAUGUAAGUUCUUUCCAGCUUUUUCCCAUUAUAUGCAAUGUUUUACUGCAUAUGCCUUUUCUGUGCACAUGUGAAUUGUAUAUUUUGGAUAGUCUUAGAUAUUUUGCUGAGAAUGAGGUUUUCAUAGUUAAAACCUGUUUACACAUCUAUAUCAAUUGCCCUGAUUAAGUUUGCACCAAUAUUCAACAUACUAUGAGAAUGUCUAUUCGCUACUAUAUGGUAUCAUUAGUCUUUUAUUAUUAUUUUAUUUUAUUAUUAUUAUUAUUUGAGACAGAGUCUCACUCUUGUUGCCAGGCUAGAGUGCAGUGGCAUGAUCUCGGCUUACUGCAACCCCCGCCUCCAAGGUUCCAGCAAUUCCCCCACCUCAGCCUCCCAAGUAGCUGGGACUACAAGGCGCAUGUCACCACGCAUGGCUAAUUUUUGGUUUUUAGUAGAGACGGGGUUUCACCAUGUUGGCCAGGAUGGUCUCCAUCUCCUGACCUUGUGAUCCGUCUGCCUUGGCCUCCCAAAGUGCUGGGAUUACAGGCGUGAGCCAUUGCACCUGGCCAUCAUUAGUCUUUUAAAUCCACCAAUCCAGUAGAAAUUAUAUUUAUUUAAAUGAAUUACCCAUGCACAGGUUUCAUUCAGUGUAAUAAAAUAUGGGCUUCAGAAACAAAAACCAGAACUGAAAGAAAAUUGGUUUUGUAGGUAGAAAAAUGUGAUUUAAAAAUGCAGAUAUGCCAUUUAUUUUGAGGGUGUAUAGCUCACCCCUGUAAUCCCAGCACUUUCGGAGGCUGAGACGGGUGGAACACUUGAGCCCAGGAGUUUGAGACCAGCCUGGGCAAUAUGGUGAAACCCCGUAUCUACUAAAAAUACAAAAAAUUAGCUGGGUGUGGUGGUGCACCUGUAGUCCUAGCUACUUGGGAGGCUGAGAUGGGAGGAUCACCUGAGCCCAAGGAUAUUGAGGCUGUAGUGAGCCGUGAUUGUGCCAAUGCACUCCAACCUGAGCGUUGGAGUGAGACCAUGCCUCAAAAAAACAAAAACAAAAAACUCUUAAAAUCGAGGGAAAGACCCAAAAACCCGAUAGAAAAAGUGAGUAAAAGAAAUGAACACAUGAAAUCACACACACACAGACACACACACACACAAAGAGAGAGAGAGGAAGCACAAAUUUUAAAAUUAUAGCGUGCUGGCUUUUUAAAAAAAUAAACCCAGCUGGGUGUGGUGGCUCACGCCUGUAAUCCCAGCACUUUGGGAGGCUGACAUGGGCGGAUCACGAGGUCAGGAGAUUGAGACCAUCCUGGCUAACAUGGUGAAACCCUGUCUCUACUAAAAAUACAAAAAAUUAGCUGGGCGUGGUGGAGGGCACCUGUAGUCCCAGCUACUCGGGAGGCUGAGGGAGGAGAAUGGCGUGAACCUGGGAGGUGGAGCUUGCAGUGAGCCAAGAUGGUGCCGCUGCUCCCCAGCUUGGGCGGCAGAGUGAG
Molecule: long non-coding RNA, 3702 nt
Organism: Homo sapiens (human)
Lineage: Eukaryota; Metazoa; Chordata; Mammalia; Primates; Hominidae
Gene: ZNF567-DT
Product: ZNF567 divergent transcript
Source: Ensembl